Molecule: ribosomal RNA, 429 nt
Filed under: Triticum aestivum (bread wheat)
Lineage: Eukaryota; Viridiplantae; Streptophyta; Magnoliopsida; Poales; Poaceae
Description: partial small subunit ribosomal RNA
Source: RNAcentral
AUGUCCCUAAAAUCCAAGUUCCUCUCUGGCCUAACCAAACAGUCUCGGGAGCAUGAGGAUGAGCACAAUGACAUUUUUUAUCUCUUCACUCCUUCCUCCCAUCCCAGUGAUCCCAUAACUAACUCGCACCUAACACACACACACACACACACACACACACACACACACACACCAAAAACUCUAGAUUAUCCUAGGACCGCAGCAAACACGACAGAGUUCACACCAGCUUGUAUCCUUUAUGUUGUAUAUAUACUAGAAGAUGAGGCUGCAGCUCACAGGAAAUUGUGGAAGUUUUCUCUGUUACUCAGUGUUAUUUAUUUCCUCAGUUUAUCAAUUUAUCUUCAGUCAUAUCCAGUGUCUUCAGUUUAUCAAUUUUUCUUCAGUCAUAUUCAGUGUUAUUUGUUCAGUCAUAUGUCAUAUUCAGUGUAA